UCCUCGGUGGCUCAGAUGGAUAGAGCGUCUGCCAUGUAAGCAGGAGGUCCCGGGUUCGAGUCCUGGUCGGGGCA
This 74-nucleotide transfer RNA is filed under the name Schistocerca americana (American grasshopper). RNAcentral's name for it is "tRNA-Thr". It matches the Rfam family "tRNA". From Rfam's summary of the family: Transfer RNA (tRNA) molecules are approximately 80 nucleotides in length. Their secondary structure includes four short double-helical elements and three loops (D, anti-codon, and T loops). The record is from RNAcentral. Lineage: Eukaryota; Metazoa; Arthropoda; Insecta; Orthoptera; Acrididae. RNAcentral also lists the same sequence under 1 other name.